UAGUCCACGCCGUAAACGAUGGAUACUAGCUGUAUGUCUACUUCAGGUAGAUGUGUGGCUAAGCGAAAGUGAUAAGUAUCCCACCUGGGGAGUACGAUCGCAAGAUUGAAACUCAAAGGAAUUGACGGGGGCCCGCACAAGCGGUGGAGCAUGUGGUUUAAUUCGAUGAUACGCGAGGAACCUUACCAGGGCUUAAAUGUAACGGGACAGAUCUAGAGAUAGAUCCUUCUUCGGACUCAUUACAAGGUGCUGCAUGGUUGUCGUCAGCUCGUGCCGUGAGGUGUUAGGUUAAGUCCUGCAACGAGCGCAACCCCUAUUCUUAGUUGCCAGCGGUUCGGCCGGGGACUCUAAGAAGACUGCCAGCGCAAGCUGAGAGGAAGGUGGGGGAUGACGUCAAAUCAUCACGGGCCCUUACGUCCUGGGGCUACACACGUGCUACAAUGGGUA
Molecule: ribosomal RNA, 447 nt
Filed under: uncultured bacterium
Lineage: Bacteria
Description: bacterial SSU rRNA
Rfam family: Bacterial small subunit ribosomal RNA
Source: RNAcentral